RNAcentral lists this long non-coding RNA (220 nucleotides) under Lathyrus oleraceus (garden pea). RNAcentral describes it as "Pisum sativum (pea) long non-coding RNA (PSAT_LNC011494)". Lineage: Eukaryota; Viridiplantae; Streptophyta; Magnoliopsida; Fabales; Fabaceae. The record is from RNAcentral.
UUUAUUCACGAUAUGUGUAGCAAGUGCUUUGUAUAUUCCGCAUUAAUUCCAUCAUGGUGUUAAGAUAAUAAUUUUAUGCGUGUUUGUUGCUGUUUGAUUUUCAUUGCAUUUCGAAAUGGAUUCUUAAUUCGCGGGUUCGACAAUUUCAUGUCGAUAUACCGUCGAAGUUUCAAUAAAUUAAUAUAAUAUUUCACCGCGUUUCGAUCCACAUAUGACACUC